CAGCUGGCCAUGCAGGAGGCGGAGCGCACACAGGUGGAGGAGGCCGCGCCAUUUCCGAAUCCGCGAACCCCCGAGUUCGGGGAGGCAGCAACUUCACCGCGGUCUCCCGUCGCUUCCGGUGGUGCCGAAGAGAGGCGGAGAAAGAGC
This 147-nucleotide non-coding RNA is filed under the name Symbiodinium sp. clade D. Lineage: Eukaryota; Dinophyceae; Suessiales; Symbiodiniaceae. The record is from RNAcentral.